This 147-nucleotide ribosomal RNA is filed under the name Eutreptiella gymnastica. Its description in RNAcentral is "partial Eukaryotic small subunit ribosomal RNA". The record is from RNAcentral. Lineage: Eukaryota; Euglenozoa; Euglenophyceae; Eutreptiales; Eutreptiaceae.
AUGCUUCACUGUGUGAGUCUCUGACCUCCCAGCGCCAGUUGGCAUGGACUGGACCACCGUGGCCAUCAUGGGUGACAGGAAAUCAGGGCUCGAUUCCGGAGAGGGGUCCCGAAGACACGGCUGCUGUUGCCAAGGCGAGCAGCAGGC